This 851-nucleotide long non-coding RNA is filed under the name Chloebia gouldiae (Gouldian finch). RNAcentral describes it as "Erythrura gouldiae (Gouldian finch) lncRNA (ENSEGOG00005019365.1)". The record is from RNAcentral. Lineage: Eukaryota; Metazoa; Chordata; Aves; Passeriformes; Passeridae.
GAAAGCUGCACAAAGAAGAAAAACUUCCUCUAUUGCAGCCCUGAAUACUUCUAAGAAGAGAAACUGCUACCUAGCCAUGUCUGCACUUCUGCUCUACUGCCUCAAAAAGAAGAGAGAGCUCCUUCUGCCACGUUUUUUUCUCUGUUUCACAAUGGGCUCAACCAGCAGAACUGGGGAGGAUCACCAUGGGAUCAAGACUGUAAAGACAGGAGAUCUCUCUCCACGUUUUGCAGUCACAGAAUUCAAACUCAGCAUCCAUAAACUGUUCAACCACUUGCCAUCCAGGAGGAGGAACCAUGCAUACUGAUGAGAUUUGAGAUCAACAGCAAUUUGGAGUGGAGAUUGUAGCUGAGGAGAGAAUGAAGGUACAGGAGAUUUCAUGAAAACAAAAGGAAAUAUCCAUUUACAAUGGACAGACUCAGUGUUGAACACCUUGCUUACAAACAACUGUCAAGCUGAAUUCUACAUUUGAUUCUGCUGCCUUCUUCUAAUGAUCAAGUGUAAAAGAGCCACAGCAACCUGAAGGUAUGGUUCCUGGGAAACACACAAUUUCUUACCAGAUAACUUCCACAGUACCAGACCUCUAAAAAGCCCAGAAGAAAAGGUCUCUCAGAUCCAAACAAUUUAAAUUCAAUGAAUAUGAUUUGGCUCGCAGUUAUUUCCCUAGGAAGUAAUGAAAGAGGUAAUUAAAAGACUGGACAACUAUUUUUAAGUAAAACAUUAUGCAUUAGAGUAAGAGCAUUUCAGUUAAACUGUUUCCAGGCCAUGAAAGCCAGCUCUGUGUCUUUCUGUGCAUCACUACAGCAGCCCAGUUCCAGAUGGGGGAAUGAGAUCUCCUUUCUGAAGGUCCC